Non-coding RNA from Brettanomyces nanus, 83 nucleotides. Lineage: Eukaryota; Fungi; Ascomycota; Pichiomycetes; Pichiales; Pichiaceae. The record is from the annotation of a RefSeq genome assembly.
GACAGUGUGGCCGAGUGGUCUAAGGCGGUGGACUCGAAAUCCAUUGGGCUCUGCCCACGCAGGUUCAAAUCCUGCCACUGUCG